RNAcentral lists this unclassified non-coding RNA (222 nucleotides) under Preussia dubia. Its description in RNAcentral is "partial internal transcribed spacer region". The stretch from base 1 to 46 matches the Rfam family "Eukaryotic small subunit ribosomal RNA", at positions 1786 to 1831 of the family's 1831-position model. Lineage: Eukaryota; Fungi; Ascomycota; Dothideomycetes; Pleosporales; Sporormiaceae. The record is from RNAcentral.
AAGUCGUAACAAGGUUUCCGUAGGUGAACCUGCGGAAGGAUCAUUAUCGUGGGGCUUCGGCCCUAUCGAGAUAGAACCCUUGCCUUUUUUGUACCUUCUGUUGCCUCGGCGUCUGCUUCACGGCGGCGCCAACGGGGCCAAAUAAUAAACUCUUUUUUAUCAUGAAAUAGUCUGAAAAAAAAAUAAAAGUUAAAACUUUCAACAACGGAUCUCUUGGUUCUG